AACGGCAGAGCGGUGCAGGACCACAUUAACACAGGACUAUGGCUAGCAACGUGUGGAGGUCAAUGCUCUCUCACGUCGUGGGGGCGGCAAAGAGACCGACGGUAUGUUUCAGAAGGGGGCUGCAAACGGUUACGUUAAUUCCUGGGGAUGGAAUCGGUCCAGAAAUAUCCGUGGCUGUAAUGAAGAUUUUUGAGGCUGCUAAGGUUCCCAUCCAGUGGGAGGAGAGGAAUGUGACAGCUAUCCAGGGCCCAGGAGGUAGAUGGAUGAUCCCUCCAGACUGUAAGGAGUCUAUGGACAGGACCCUGAUCGGGUUAAAAGGCCCCCUGAAGACCCCCAUCGCAGCCGGCCACCCCUCCAUGAACCUGCUCCUCAGGAAGACCUUUGACCUGUACGCCAACGUGCGGCCCUGCGUGUCCAUCGAGGGCUACAAGACCCCCUACACCGACGUGGACCUGGUCACCAUCCGAGAGAACACCGAGGGAGAGUACAGUGGAAUCGAGCACAUAGUAUGUCGCUAUGGUUACCACGGUCAGGAGGAGAGAAAUGGGACAAAGUUAUGAGUGAAACCAGUUAGUUUUUUUCACAUGUGUGGAUUUCAAACUGAAUCUGUAAAAUGCCUGCAGCUAACACUGACUACAGAGGAAUAGACCAGGGAGCAGUAGCUACCUCGUAUGUUAACAUGCCUACAGAGGAAUAGACCAGGGAACAGUAGCUACCUCGUAUGUUAACAUGCCUACAGAGGAAUAGACCAGGGAACAGUAGCUACCUCGUAUGUUAACAUGCCUACAGAGGAAUAGACCAGGGAACAGUAGCUACCUCGUAUGUUAACAUGCCUACAGAGGAAUAGACCAGGGAGCAGUAGCUACCUCGUAUGUUAACAUGCCUACAGAGGAAUAGACCAGGGAGCAGUAGCUACCUCGUAUGUUAACAUGCCUACAGCUAACACUGACUACAGAAGAAUAGACCAGGGAGCAGUAGCUACCUCGUAUGUUAACAUGCCUACAGAGGAAUAGACCAGGGAACAGUAGCUACCUCGUAUGUUAACAUGCCUGCAGCUAACACUGACUACAGAGGAAUAGACCAGGGAGCAGUAGCUACCUCGUAUGUUAACAUGCCUACAGCUAACACUGACUACAGAGGAAUAGACCAGGGAGCAGUAGCUACCUCGUAUGUUAACAUGCCUACAGAGGAAUAGACCAGGGAGCAGUAGCUACCUCGUAUGUUAACAUGCCUGCAGCUAACACUGACUACAGAGGAAUAGACCAGGGAGCAGUAGCUACCUCGUAUGUUAACAUGCCUGCAGCUAACACUGACUACAGAGGAAUAGACCAGGGAGCAGUAGCUACCUCGUAUGUUAACAUGCCUACAGCUAACACUGACUACAGAGGAAUAGACCAGGGAGCAGUAGCUACCUCGUAUGUUAACAUGCCUACAGAGGAAUAGACCAGGGAACAGUAGCUACCUCGUAUGUUAACAUGCCUACAGCUAACACUGACUACAGAGGAAUAGACCACAUAGCAGUAGCUACCUCAUAUGUUUGCUGGAAUAGUUGUUCAGGAGAAUAAUUUUAAUUGGCUGAUCCCUCCUACUGACCAGAGGGGAACGCUACAAAACAGAAUCAAUGAGUUAGCCAGCUAACUUUGAGAAAGAACCAGAAAUAACGAUGGAUUUUUUUUGGUGAGGGAGGGGUUUAAAGAAAGCUAAACUUGUGUGUUUUUGGUUGUCGAAUCAUUUAGUCCAUUUCAAACUUUAUCUUUCUAAAUAAAAAAUAAUUGUCAAGUUCGCUAGUGAACUCCUUGAUCCUGCGUUGUAGUCAACCCCUCUGGGGGAGGGGAUACUCUUACAACAUUAACAUGCAGGGAUGUGUUCAUCCGGUAUGAAAUGGAGGUGAAACAAGAGGUCCUACCUGAACAUGACCCAAGAAGAAUGUUCAGGUGACUCGUUUUUAAUGGCUACGUUGUGCCCUGCUGAACAUGACCCAGUGUUUCAACACUGGGGUGGGUUCUUCAUUAGGGCAUCUGGUGUAGUUUUCGGCGCAAAUGUCAGUACUAAAAUGGUUGUGAAUGGUUUGUUGGUUUGACAGUUAAUUAUUUAAUUUUAGCUUUUAUUUUACUAGGCAAGUCAGUUAAGAACAAAUUCUUAUUUUCAAUGACGGCCUUGGAACAGUGGGUUAACUGCCUGUUCAGGGGCAGAACGACAGAUUUGUACCUUGUCAGCUCAGGGGAUUUGAACUUGCAACCUUUCGAUUACUAGUCCAAUGCUCUAACCACUAGGCUACCCUCUCAGUAACUGAGAAGUCACGUUGACUGUGAUGUGACUACUCUGGACCGUCGAUUUUCAUCUCUUGAUAAGCAGCUGUUUUCAAGGCUGAGAACUGAGCAGUCCGUAUUUUCACUGUGGUGUUGUGUGGAAUCGGUGUCCUCGGUUAUUGAAACUGUUUUAUCUGGGUUGGACAGGGCACCUCACAUCACAGGUGAUUGGUUAUUCUCCAGGUGUUCCUUAGAUCGUUGACGGCGUAGUUCAGAGCAUCAAACUCAUCACGGAAGACGCCAGUCGACGUAUCGCCGAGUACGCCUUCGAGUACGCAAGAAACAACCAAAGAAACAGCGUCACGGCCGUUCACAAAGCCAACAUCAUGAGGAUGUCGGAUGGGCUGUUCCUGAGGAAAUGCAGAGAGGUGGCUGAAAACUUCAAGGACGUCAAGUUUACUGAGAUGUACCUGGACACCGUGUGUCUCAACAUGGUGCAAGAUCCCACCCAGUUUGACGUCCUGGUGAUGCCCAACCUGUAUGGUGACAUUCUCAGUGAUCUGUGUGCUGGACUUAUUGGCGGUCUGGGAGUCACUCCUAGUGGAAACAUUGGUGCCAAUGGAGUCGCCAUUUUUGAAUCGGUCCAUGGGACGGCCCCCGACAUAGCCGGUCUGGACAUGGCCAACCCUACAGCUCUGCUGCUCAGUGCUGUGAUGAUGCUGCGUCACAUGGGCAUGCACGACUACGGCAAGAAGAUCGAGACCGCCUGUUUCGACACCAUCAGAGACAAGAAGGUGUUGACCGGAGACCUCGGUGGGAAGUCGAAGUGCUCAGAGUUUACAGAGGAGAUCUGCCGUAGAGUGCGAGACAUGGACUGAAAACGACGGCUGUUGAUUUUCUGAAGACUUCAUAAUAAUUCAACCGCUGCUUUGAACUUACUCCUAAAGACUCUGGGGGGGCGUUCCAGGUUGUCAGUUCCGCAGUUACGAUGCAGCUGCAUAUCUUAGAUUACUAUAUUAUAUUUAUGUCGGUUCCUGAGAAUGGACAAUUCUCCAGGUUUUCUAGAAAUAGAAAUUCGAUAAUUUGUGCAGUGUGACUGAAAUAAAUCACCACCUGGAACGCGCCCUACAUGGAUGGGUAUUCACUCUUAAGGUGUAUUUAAGCACAAUUUUACUCACAUGAUCAUUUCAUGGGGCAAACUUCCCCAAAGUUAUACUUGCCUCUAUACUACGUGGCACUCCUCCUGUGUUGUCCGGCAGUGGUUCUGAUCGUUUGCUAGUUUGAUUUUUUUUAACGGUAAAUGUAAUGCUAACGGCUUCAAUGUACUGUAUUUAUUGUUACCAGUCGGGUUCCUGUGCAUGAAUGGAUUGUAUUGUACCAGCGUCUCAUGUCUCUCUUUUCUGUUUCGAGAUCAUACAUAAAAAUCACAUGACUUUAAA
RNA transcript from Oncorhynchus kisutch (coho salmon), 3688 nucleotides. It is a transcript of the gene named isocitrate dehydrogenase (NAD(+)) 3 catalytic subunit alpha, with no coding region annotated. Lineage: Eukaryota; Metazoa; Chordata; Actinopteri; Salmoniformes; Salmonidae. The transcript is spliced from 11 exons. The record is from RefSeq and is a predicted model, not a curated record.